GACGAACGCUGGCGGCGUGCUUAACACAUGCAAGUCGAACGGUGAAGCGCCUUCCUUUUUGGUGGGUGUGGAUGAGUGGCGAACGGGUGAGUAACACGUGAGUAACCUGCCCCCUUCUUCUGGAUAACCGCAUGAAAGUGUGGCUAAUACGGGAUAUUCUGGGUCUGUCGCAUGAUGGGUCUGGGAAAGAUAUUGUUUCGGUGGGGGAUGGGCUCGCGGCCUAUCAGCUUGUUGGUGGGGUGAUGGCCUACCAAGGCGGUGACGGGUAGCCGGCCUGGGAGGGUGGACGGUCACACGGGGACUGAGACACGGCCCAGACUCCUACGGGAGGCAGCAGUGGGGAAUAUUGCACAAUGGGCGCAAGCCUGAUGCAGCGACGCCGCGUGAGGGAUGGAGGCCUUCGGGUUGUGAACCUCUUUCGCCAGUGAAGCAGGCCUGCCUCGUUUGUGGGUGGGUUGACGGUAGCUGGAUAAGAAGCGCCGGCUAACUACGUG
RNAcentral lists this ribosomal RNA (494 nucleotides) under uncultured bacterium. Its description in RNAcentral is "partial 16S ribosomal RNA". It matches the Rfam family "Bacterial small subunit ribosomal RNA", at positions 28 to 507 of the family's 1533-position model. The record is from RNAcentral.